CACGUAGGGUGCGAGCGUUGUCCGGAAUUAUUGGGCGUAAAGAGCUCGUAGGCGGUGUGUCGCGUCGGCUGUGAAAACCUGCAGCUUAACUGUGGGCUUGCGGUCGAUACGGGCAUCACUGGAGUUCGGCAGGGGAGACUGGAAUUCCUGGUGUAGCGGUGAAAUGCGCAGAUAUCAGGAGGAACACCGGUGGCGAAGGCGGGUCUCUGGACAGUUCCUGACGCUGAGGCACGAAGGUCAGGGGAGCAAACGGG
This 254-nucleotide ribosomal RNA is filed under the name uncultured bacterium. Its description in RNAcentral is "partial 16S ribosomal RNA". It matches the Rfam family "Bacterial small subunit ribosomal RNA", at positions 524 to 776 of the family's 1533-position model. The record is from RNAcentral.